AACGGCGAGUGAAGCGGGAAGAGCUCAAAUUUGAAAGCUGGCGCCUUCGGCGUCCGCGUUGUAAUCUCGAGAAGCGUUUUCCGCGCUGGACCAUGUACAAGUUCCUUGGAAUAGGACGUCAUAGAGGGUGAAAAUCCCGUACUUGACAUGGAUGCCCAGUGCUUUGUGAUACGCUCUCCACGAGUCGAGUUGUUUGGGAAUGCAGCUCAAAAUGGGUGGUAAAUUCCAUCUAAAGCUAAAUAUUGGGGAGAGACCGAUAGCGAACAAGUACCGUGAGGGAAAGAUGAAAAGCACUUUGGAAAGAGAGUUAAAUAGUACGUGAAAUUGUCGAAAGGGAAGCGCUUGAAGUUAGACAUGCGCGUUGGAAUUCAGCCUUGCUUUUGCUUGGUGCAUUUUCYGGUGUGCAGGCCWGCAUCAGUUUUGACUGUCGGAUAAGGGUAGGAGGAAUGUGGCCCCUCGGGGUGUUAUAGCCUCCUACUGGAUACGGCGGUUGGGACUGAGGACUGCAGUGUGCCUUUAUGGCGGGCCUUCGGGCAC
RNAcentral lists this ribosomal RNA (537 nucleotides) under Microstromatales sp. 11098. Its description in RNAcentral is "eukaryotic LSU rRNA". It matches the Rfam family "Eukaryotic large subunit ribosomal RNA", at positions 85 to 608 of the family's 3401-position model. Lineage: Eukaryota; Fungi; Basidiomycota; Exobasidiomycetes; Microstromatales. The record is from RNAcentral.